RNAcentral lists this ribosomal RNA (459 nucleotides) under uncultured bacterium. Its description in RNAcentral is "partial 16S ribosomal RNA". It matches the Rfam family "Bacterial small subunit ribosomal RNA", at positions 338 to 795 of the family's 1533-position model. The record is from RNAcentral.
CCUACGGGGGGCAGCAGUGAGGAAUAUUGGUCAAUGGCCGGGAGGCUGAACCAGCCAAGUCGCGUGAGGGAAGACGGCCCUACGGGUUGUAAACUUCUUUUGUAAGGGAGUAAGGCGCAGGUCGGGACCUGCUGUGAGAGUACCUGAAGAAAAAGCAUCGGCUAACUCCGUGCCAGCAGCCGCGGUAAUAGGGAGGAUGCGAGCGUUAUCCGGAUUUAUUGGGUUUAAAGGGUGCGCAGGCGGAUGCAAAGGUCUGCGGUAAAAUCGCGGGGCUAAACCCCGCUCUGCAGUUGAAACUGUGGGCCUUGAGUGCGCGGAGGGUAGGCGGAAUGCGUGGUGUAGCGGUGAAAUGCAUAGAUAUCACGAAGAACUCCGAUCGCGAAGGCAGCCUGCCGGCGCGCAACUGACGCUCAUGCACGAAAGCGUGGGUAUCGAACAGGAUUAGAUACCCUAGUAGUC